This 388-nucleotide long non-coding RNA is filed under the name Rattus norvegicus (Norway rat). RNAcentral's name for it is "long non-coding RNA NONRATT012345". Lineage: Eukaryota; Metazoa; Chordata; Mammalia; Rodentia; Muridae. The record is from RNAcentral.
AAAUGACCCUCUCCUUUUCCCGUACCAGAAUGCCUCCAAAACUGUCCGACCUGAAGUAAAUGCUGUCGCCUCCUCAGAUGAGGUCUGUGACGGGGACCGGGAGAAGGAGGAACCGCCAUCUCCCAUUGAGUCUACCCCACCUCGAUCCCUCCUGGAGAAAGUGUCCAAAAAAAAGACUUCCAAGACUGUGAAGAUGCCCAAGCCAUCCAAAACCCCCAAGCCCCCCAAGCCCCCCAAGCCCCCCAAAACCCUGAAACUCAAGGACGGAAGCAAGAAGAAAGGGAAGAAGUGCAAAGAGUCCGCCUCUCCCACCAUCCCCAACUUGGACCUGCUUGAGGCCCACACCAAGGAGGCGCUGACCAAGAUGGAGCCACCGAAGAAAGGAAAG